UCAAUCACAAUUCAUAUCUUAUAAGUUCAAUGGAUAAAACGAAGAUAACCUCAAUAAUUAUGAAUAUCAGGUUUUUAUAUCAAAACAUAAUUAAUAAAUAUACAUACAGUUACGAUUGAUUCUAUCAAAUCCCAACAAGAGAAGGAGAUUAGCUAGCCAUUCUCAUGGUAACUUUAUACAAAAUGAAGGAAUUGAGAUGAAUAAACAUCAACAACGAUGUCUUGACUCUUG
Molecule: long non-coding RNA, 231 nt
Filed under: Lathyrus oleraceus (garden pea)
Lineage: Eukaryota; Viridiplantae; Streptophyta; Magnoliopsida; Fabales; Fabaceae
Description: Pisum sativum (pea) long non-coding RNA (PSAT_LNC014539)
Source: RNAcentral